RNAcentral lists this ribosomal RNA (424 nucleotides) under uncultured Lachnospiraceae bacterium. RNAcentral's name for it is "bacterial SSU rRNA". It matches the Rfam family "Bacterial small subunit ribosomal RNA", at positions 355 to 794 of the family's 1533-position model. Lineage: Bacteria; Bacillati; Bacillota; Clostridia; Lachnospirales; Lachnospiraceae. The record is from RNAcentral.
UGGGGAAUAUUGCACAAUGGGGGAAACCCGUCGAUGCAGCGACGCCGCGUGAACGAAGAAGUAUUUCGGUAUGUAAAGUUCUAUCAGCAGGGAAGAUAAUGACGGUACCUGACUAAGAAGCACCGGCUAAAUACGUGCCAGCAGCCGCGGUAAUACGUAGGUUGCAAGCGUUGUCCGGAUUUACUGGGUGUAAAGGGCGUGUAGGCGGAGGAGCAAGUCAGAUGUGAAAUCCCGGGGCUUAACCCCGGAACUGCAUUUGAAACUGUUUCCCUUGAGUAUCGGAGAGGCAAGCGGAAUUCCUAGUGUAGCGGUGAAAUGCGUAGAUAUUAGGAGGAACACCAGUGGCGAAGGCGGCUUGCUGGACGACAACUGACGCUGAGGCGCGAAAGUGUGGGGAGCAAACAGGAUUAGAUACCCUGGUAGU